GACGAACGCUGGCGGCGUGCUUAACACAUGCAAGUCGAACGGAAAGGCCCUGCUUUUGUGGGGUGCUCAAGUGGCGAACGGGUGAGGAACACGUGAGUAACCUGCCCUUGACUUUGGGAUAACUUCAGGAAACUGGGGCUACUACCGGAUAGGAGCUCCUGCUGCAUGGUGGGGGUUGGAAAGUUUCGGCGGUUGGGGAUGGACUCGCGGCUUAUCAGCUUGUUGGUGGGGUAGUGGCUUACCAAGGCUUUGACGGGUAGCCGGCCUGAGAGGGUGACCGGCCACAUUGGGACUGAGAUACGGCCCAGACUCCUACGGGAGGCAGCAGUGGGGAAUAUUGCACAAUGGGCGGAAGCCUGAUGCAGCAACGCCGCGUGCGGGAUGACGGCCUUCGGGUUGUAAACCGCUUUCGCCUGUGACGAAGCGUGAGUGACGGUAAUGGGUAAAGAAGCACCGGCUAACUACGUG
This 468-nucleotide ribosomal RNA is filed under the name uncultured bacterium. RNAcentral describes it as "partial 16S ribosomal RNA". It matches the Rfam family "Bacterial small subunit ribosomal RNA", at positions 28 to 507 of the family's 1533-position model. The record is from RNAcentral.